RNAcentral lists this ribosomal RNA (269 nucleotides) under uncultured bacterium. RNAcentral's name for it is "partial 16S ribosomal RNA". It matches the Rfam family "Bacterial small subunit ribosomal RNA", at positions 86 to 354 of the family's 1533-position model. The record is from RNAcentral.
UCGCCGCGACCGGCGCACGGUGAGUAACACGUAUGCAACCUGGCCGUGACAGAUGGAUAACCGGAGAAAUCCCGCCUAAUACAACAUAAUGCCGGGAGGGGACAUCCCCUGCCGGCCAAAGGGGCGACCCCGGUCACGGAUGGGCAUGCGGCGCAUUAGGUAGUUGGUGGGGCAACGGCCCACCAAGCCGACGAUGCGUAGGGGUUCUGAGAGGAAGGUCCCCCACAUUGGAACUGAGACACGGUCCAAACUCCUACGGAAGGCAGCAG